Ictalurus punctatus (channel catfish) is the source of this 2437-nucleotide long non-coding RNA. Lineage: Eukaryota; Metazoa; Chordata; Actinopteri; Siluriformes; Ictaluridae. The record is from Ensembl.
CUCAAUUGGGUUAAGGGUUGGUGGUGAAAACCUGAGGUCUUUCUGAAGAAUGAACACCAGUGGGUUCUUUCUUCAGAGUACAAGAACUUACAAGUCUGUAAACUUUCUGGUUGACUUUAGUCAUAUGUUCCUAGGGUUACACAAGAAACAGCAGCAAGCAUGACAUCAUACCUACUGCUAUCUACAUCAACUUUCCAGUUAACAGGUUUUUCAGGAAGUGGUGAAAACUCCCCUGUAGUCCAUCUGAACACAGCUGAGAAAUGCUGUAAAAGCUCUCUAACACCUCAACUGAGUAACAACAGAAAUGUUCUGUGAGAUGAAGCACUGGAUAUUGUGGCUGUCUCUAUGCCAUAUUUCACACAUGAGAGGAGAAAGCCUGUGCAAAAGAGAACUUUUACCAAGCAGUAACAUUUCUACUGAGCUCCAGUCUGAUGUCCUGCUGCCGUGUAACUUUAAUACAACUCUCCUCGGAUCAGAUAAGACUGCAGAUAUAUCAGUAGUGUGGAGUCAGAGGAACACAACAAUACACCAUCUAGUGGAGAUCACUCUACGGGGAGAAGUGAUGUUUUGGGAUACUAAACGUGGACGUAUCAAGACGUUCGCUAAGCUCUCUGAAUCAGGAAACUUCUCCAUUCUCCUUCAGAAAGUUCAGCCGUAUGAUCUGGGUCUCUACCUCUGUGAGCUGUUUAACGGGACCGGCUGCAGAAUCGCGUAUCAGGAGCUUCACCUAAACAGAUGGACGAGCAUGAAUAUAGUGGUAUCUCUACCUAUAUGGCCCUUUAUAGCAGCAGGAGGAGGAGCUGCUGCUCUCAUCCUUCUUGUGGUUUUAAUCUGUUUAAUAAAGUGUGCUUGUUCCAAUGCAUCAAAUAAACACAUCUAUGCAAACUCAAGAUUUGAAAAAAGAAAUGACAAAGAGUGCAGUGAAGAGAAACACAGCAGCAAUCAGCAUGCUAAGGCUAGAAAUAAGGUUGAUGUCAACAAGCCUCCAAACCACAGUAACAUCUACGCCAACAGCCACAUGGAAGCUGAAACGAUUUAUGCCAACCAGCCACACUGUAACUAACUAUGAGGUUCUAAAUGGAAGUGUAAUUUAUACAGUAUUCAAUGUGUACAGUACUCUGAAUGUUCUUGCACCGUCCCACUCUUUAUGCAGAGAUUCUUGUACCGAUUCCACAGUCUAGUGGAAAGCCUUCCCAGAAGAGUGUAGGUUAUUAUAACAGUAAAGGGGGAAUAAAUCUGUAAUGGGAUGUUCAACACACAAUUGUGGGUGUGAUGGUCAGGUGUCCACAUACAUUUGCCCAUAUAGUGCAUAUCCUUCAUGUUAAGGUUUGUAGAUGAGAACCAUUUUCUACUUCAUCAGUAAUAAUUAUGUCUCUCUCUCUCUCUCUCUCUCUCUCUCUCUCUCUCUCUCUCUCUCUCUCUCUCUCUCUCUCUCUACUAUCCAUCCACUCAUACCCCUAUCUAUUCGGAGCAUAACAACAUAGAAAGACAACAGUUUAAAUGAAUCAAUACAACAAUUGAUUAAUCAUAAAUGUAUUAUUAGAGAAAAAGGACAAACAACUGGUGUGCAAAAGUAAUUCAUAUUUUUAAACUGGUGAGGUGAUUUGCCUGUAACUCUGAUAGUUUGGAAAUUGUCCUUCCCUACAUCAUCACUUGUGACAUAACAGCAGGCCUCUUGAGAUUCUGAACACAGUAGGUCACAUAUUGAUCGUAGCAGAGUCAAUGGUAUCGUCAAAUAUCGAAUCAUUGCCUUAUGAAUUGAAAUUGUAUUGUAUCGUGUGAAAGCCUGAGGUUUACACCCCUACUAUCCUUCCAGCUAUCCAAGUCCCCAUAAUUCCAUUCCCAUUGCUUUUACUUGAACAUAUUUUCAAUAGCAUAGGGUCAAAAUUGAAAUUGAAAUUCGAAUAAAAGUUUAUCACAUAGAGAAGUCGAUAUGCAGUUUUGAAUCAUUUGAAACUUUUACAUGCUUAAUAUUAGCAAACCAGUGUCUUCAAAAACAUGUUAAAUACUGUAAAGUGAAAUCUCUAUCAUUUCUUUAGUGCCAUAUUUUAUCUUCAGCCUGUUUAUCAAUCAGGUAAAUAAGAUUUCAGCACACAUUACGACAUCAUGCUGUAACCAUGCACCUGCUACAGACUCAAUGCACUUUGGCCUCUGAUCCAAGAAUUACUGUCCUGUCCCCAUAUGGUAAACUCACUUGAUGGAGACGAGCUGAUGAAGUAAAACAUGAUAGGAGCCGAUGCUGUACUAGAAAAUAAUUUUUAUGUGAUUGUACUGUCUUGGAUUGUAUUUAAUUUUUGUUCCACUUCAUUAAAGAACUACAAACGUGAAUACUGAAUACUGUUUACUGAUUUAGUUGUGAUAGGCUCCAUGUGAUUUGGUCUAUCAUUAUUGAAGGUUACAUCGAGAAACUAUUUUAGAUUAUUUUGUGUGUCUUUGC